AGAUUGAACGCUGGCGGCAGGCCUAACACAUGCAAGUCGAGCGGCAGCACGGGUACUUGUACCUGGUGGCGAGCGGCGGACGGGUGAGUAAUGCCUAGGAAUCUGCCUGAUAGUGGGGGAUAACGCUCGGAGACGGACGCUAAUACCGCAUACGUCCUACGGGGGAAAGCAGGGGACCUUCGGGCCUUGCGCUAUCAGAUGAGCCUAGGUCGGAUUAGCUAGUUGGUGAGGUAAUGGCUCACCAAGGCGACGAUCCGUAACUGGUCUGAGAGGAUGAUCAGUCACACUGGAACUGAGACACGGUCCAGACUCCUACGGGAGCAGCAGUGGGAAUAUGGACAAGUGGGCGAAAGCCUGAUCCAGCCAGUCGCCGCGUGUGUAGAAGAGGUCUUGGAUAGUAAAGCUAA
RNAcentral lists this ribosomal RNA (407 nucleotides) under uncultured soil bacterium. RNAcentral describes it as "bacterial SSU rRNA". It matches the Rfam family "Bacterial small subunit ribosomal RNA", at positions 26 to 434 of the family's 1533-position model. The record is from RNAcentral.